This is a long non-coding RNA of Triticum dicoccoides, 639 nucleotides long. RefSeq lists it as uncharacterized. NCBI's taxonomy places the organism in Eukaryota, Viridiplantae, Streptophyta, Magnoliopsida, Poales, Poaceae. The record is from RefSeq and is a predicted model, not a curated record. The transcript has 3 exons.
UCUGCAUUGGGAGGACGGCGGUGCCGAUGGUUUGGGAGCUGAAGCCGUUUGGCGAGGAUGGCGGUGGCGGAGGAGGAAGAGGGCGCCGGCGGCUUUCGGUCACAUGGGUCAAAGGAGAGCAAGGGGACGGCAGCACCUUCUUCCCAUCUUCACCUAGAGUGCUAGCUACCUUUCAAACAUGGAAGCUUAGGAGAAAGCAUGUAAACCGAAGACAGGAAGCUUACCUGUUCGAUUCAGCAGAUUUGGUUUGCUCUAUUUGUUAAGAUCUUUCUCUGCUGCACGAGAACUUAGAGAUGUAACAUCAAUGUGGUGGGCAUAGAUCAGAAAGGCAAGUUCUUGUCAAAGGAAAUCUUCACCUACGUAAAGGACUGGCUAAGUUUUGUUGUUCGUUCCCGUUCUCGGGUGCUGUCCGGUGGGUCAGUUGCGCUCUUCAGCGCCUUCGUCUUUGUUGUCUCCUACACCUUUGCCUACACCCUCACCCACUACCACGGCUCCUGCAGCAAGGUAACAGGUCUCUACCUCGCCCGAUCUCCUUCGCCAGUUUAUAUGCAGAUGGACGGCUGCAUGAACAGAAAGACAAUGGUGUCCGAGCUUUGUUGCAUCGCGUUACAGGACGAGAACCUCUUUUAUUUCAUUUCC